RNAcentral lists this ribosomal RNA (438 nucleotides) under uncultured Atopobium sp. RNAcentral describes it as "bacterial SSU rRNA". It matches the Rfam family "Bacterial small subunit ribosomal RNA", at positions 79 to 524 of the family's 1533-position model. The record is from RNAcentral. Lineage: Bacteria; Bacillati; Actinomycetota; Coriobacteriia; Coriobacteriales; Atopobiaceae.
ACGGGUGUGUAUAAAAGUGGCGAAACGGCUGAGUAACACGUGGGCAACCUGCCCUUUGCACUGGGAUAGCCUCGGGAAACCGAGGUUAAUACCGGAUACUCCAUAUAUAUCGCAUGAUGUAUAUGGGAAAAGCUCCGACGGCAAAGGAUGGGCCCGCGGCCUGUUUAGCUAGUUGGUGGGGUAACGGCCUACCCAAGGCAAUGAUGGGUAGCCGGGUUGAGAGACCGACCGGCCAGAUUGGGACUGAGACACGGCCCAGACUCCUACGGGAGGCAGCAGUGGGGAAUCUUGCACAAUGGGCGAAAGCCUGAUGCAGCGACGCCGCGUGCGGGAUGAAGGCCUUCGGGUCGUAAACCGCUUUCAGCAGGGACGAGGCCGCAAGGUGACGGUACCUGCAGAAGAAGCCCCGGCUAACUACGUGCCAGCAGCCGCGGUAAU